Molecule: transfer RNA, 54 nt
Filed under: Bourletiella arvalis
Lineage: Eukaryota; Metazoa; Arthropoda; Collembola; Symphypleona; Bourletiellidae
Description: tRNA-Cys
Source: RNAcentral
GAUUUAACCCUAAAGACUGCAAAUCUUUUAAUUUAUAAUAUUUAUAUUAAAUCU